Molecule: long non-coding RNA, 1102 nt
Filed under: Equus caballus (horse)
Lineage: Eukaryota; Metazoa; Chordata; Mammalia; Perissodactyla; Equidae
Description: lncRNA (ENSECAG00000055757.1)
Source: RNAcentral
CGAGGCCUGGGCCUGGAAGUGGAGCACCGUGUCCACUGUGUUUUAUUGGUUAAAGCCAAGUCAUAAGCAUAAGAGGAGUCCAGAUUCAAGGAGGGGAAAAGGAUUCCACGUUUGGAUGAGGAAGCUGAAGAGUCACUUUGGAAAGGAUAUUGGCACAGGGAGGAGUGGUUGUCUUUGCAAUGUCCCCGAUCAUAUAAUUUACAUCAUAAGCUAGGUCAGUUUUGAGAAUGAAAGGGAAUGCUUUUAAGAAUGACCUCAAGACAAUGAAUAUAAACCAGAACUGCCCAAGUGUUGCCCAUUCUUCCUGACUCCCAACCCAAGUCUCCUUUUACUUUCCCCGUGCUGCCUUAUGACACUAAGAAGAAGCCACUGAAACUGGCAGAGGACAGACCUCGAAUCUGAAUCCAAGCCAAAGACCAGCGUGAAUGAUAUUUCUGGUGUCCAGGACUGCCAGUGCUCAAAACUGUGUUGGUACUCCUCCUUUGAAGAUGGAUGAACACACUGAAUAACCAUCUUUUUGUCUUGUCUUUUUGCAAGAGAAACUUGAAGUGUGAGACUGUUUUUCUUGGAUGGGCCAAAAAAGGUCUUCCUUUUUCACCUUCCCCUUCUCACCUACCGCCUACCUUGGUUUCCAAGAAGACUGCUCUGGACAGUGACUCUCACUUGGAUGUUUAAUUUCUGUGUGUCCUUGGAAAAAGGCGCCAGCCUUCCCCUUACUAGGUAAAGACGUCUUAUCUAGAAGCAGAGGGGUCAUAACCUUACCUGAUGUCCUGUUCAGUUGUCUUGUUCUCCUUCAAAUUGCCCUCCCCCCUUUCUUGGCCUGCUUUAGCUGUGUGUACCUGUGAGAGCAGAGCCCUUUCUUGCUGGUGAAGCCCUCACAGACCACUCUUUUUCCCUAACAUCUGCGCUUAAGGAUUUGGUUGGAACAAUUAGCUCCCAAAGGACUUCUGUCCUGAGUAGACUGUCUCCUUGUUUCCUGGGUGUUUGUCUUCUCCACAGCCGACAAGAAGAUUCUAAACUCUGUGAGGGCUGCUGUGUCUCCCUCAACCAUGUCUCUACACAGGUCACAGACUCAACACUUUCUUACUGAUUCUUUCAGUUG